Molecule: ribosomal RNA, 460 nt
Filed under: uncultured bacterium
Lineage: Bacteria
Description: partial 16S ribosomal RNA
Rfam family: Bacterial small subunit ribosomal RNA
Source: RNAcentral
GACGAACGCUGGCGGCGUGCUUAACACAUGCAAGUCGAGCGGUAAGGCCUCUUCGGGGGUACACGAGCGGCGAACGGGUGAGUAACACGUGGGUGACCUGCCCUCAGCUCUGGGAUAAGCCUGGGAAACUGGGUCUAAUACCGGAUAUGACCUUUCCUCGCAUGGGGUUCGGUGGAAAGUUUUUUCGGCUGGGGAUGGGCCCGCGGCCUAUCAGCUUGUUGGUGGGGUGAUGGCCUACCAAGGCGACGACGGGUAGCCGGCCUGAGAGGGCGACCGGCCACACUGGGACUGAGACACGGCCCAGACCCCUACGGGAGGCAGCAGUGGGGAAGAUUGCGCAAUGGGCGGAAGCCUGACGCAGCGACGCCGCGUGGGGGAUGACGGCCUUCGGGUUGUAAACCUCUUUCGACCCCGACGAAUUUGGACGGUAGGGGUAGAAGAAGCACCGGCCAACUACGUG